This 573-nucleotide ribosomal RNA is filed under the name Clonostachys sp. 2 MM-2016. RNAcentral's name for it is "eukaryotic LSU rRNA". The stretch from base 191 to 344 matches the Rfam family "5.8S ribosomal RNA". The record is from RNAcentral. Lineage: Eukaryota; Fungi; Ascomycota; Sordariomycetes; Hypocreales; Bionectriaceae.
CCCUCCGUAGGUGAACCUGCGGAGGGAUCAUUACCGAGUUUACAACUCCCAAACCCAUGUGAACAUACCUAUUGUUGCUUCGGCGGGAUUGCCCCGGGCGCCUCGUGUGCCCCGGAUCAGGCGCCCGCCUAGGAAACUUAACUCUUGUUUUAUUUUGGAAUCUUCUGAGUAGUUUUUACAAAUAAAUAAAAACUUUCAACAACGGAUCUCUUGGUUCUGGCAUCGAUGAAGAACGCAGCGAAAUGCGAUAAGUAAUGUGAAUUGCAGAAUUCAGUGAAUCAUCGAAUCUUUGAACGCACAUUGCGCCCGCCAGUAUUCUGGCGGGCAUGCCUGUCUGAGCGUCAUUUCAACCCUCAUGCCCCUAGGGCGUGGUGUUGGGGAUCGGCCAAAGCCCGCGAGGGACGGCCGGCCCCUAAAUCUAGUGGCGGACCCGUCGUGGCCUCCUCUGCGAAGUAGUGAUAUUCCGCAUCGGAGAGCGACGAGCCCCUGCCGUUAAACCCCCAACUUUCCAAGGUUGACCUCAGAUCAGGUAGGAAUACCCGCUGAACUUAAGCAUAUCAAUAAGCGGAGGAA